This 428-nucleotide ribosomal RNA is filed under the name uncultured archaeon. RNAcentral describes it as "bacterial SSU rRNA". It matches the Rfam family "Archaeal small subunit ribosomal RNA", at positions 474 to 903 of the family's 1478-position model. The record is from RNAcentral.
CACCAGCCCCUCGAGUGGUGGGGAUGAUUAUUUGGCCUAAAGCGUCCGUAGCCGGCCGGGUAAGUUUCCCGUUAAAUCCAGCGUCUCAAGCGUUGGACUGCGGGAAAUACUGCCUGGCUAGAGAGUGGGAGAGGUGUACGGUAUUCUGGGGGUAGGGGCGAAAUCCUUUGAUCCCCGGAGGACCACCAGUGGCGAAGGCUGUACACUAGAACACGUCUGACGGUCAGGGACGAAAGCUGGGGUAGCGAACCGGAUUAGAUACCCGAGUAGUCCCAGCUGUAAACGAUGCAUGCUAGGUGUUGGGUUGGCCACGAGCCACCCCAGUGCCGCAGGGAAGCCGUUAAGCAUGCCGCCUGGGAAGUACGAUCGCAAGAUUGAAACUUAAAGGAAUUGGCGGGGAGCACCACCAGGCGUGAAGCCUGCGGUUU